Molecule: long non-coding RNA, 931 nt
Organism: Oncorhynchus keta (chum salmon)
Lineage: Eukaryota; Metazoa; Chordata; Actinopteri; Salmoniformes; Salmonidae
Exons: 3
Source: RefSeq, a predicted model, not a curated record
GUUCCCUUCUCACUCUCCUAGAGGUGAUCGCUCAGUUCCCUUCUCCGUCUCCUAGAGGUGAUCGCUCAGUUCCCUUCUCCCUCUCCUACAGGUUAUCGCUAAGUUCCCUUCUCCCUCUCCUAGAGGUGAUCGCUCAGUUCCCUUCUCCGUCUCCUAGAGGUGAUCGCUCAGUUCCCUUCUCCCUCUCCUACAGGUUAUCGCUAAGUUCCCUUCUCCCUCUCCUAGAGGUGAUCGCUCAGUUCCCUUCUCCGUCUCCUAGAGGUGAUCGCUCAGUUCCCUUCUCCCUCUCCUACAGGUUAUCGCUAAGUUCCCUUCUCACUCUCCUAGAGGUGAUUGCUCAGUUCCCUUCCCCUUGUCCUAUUGGUGAUUGCUCAGUUCCCUUCCCCUUCCCCUAUUGGUGAUUGCUCAGUUCCCUUCCCCUUCCCCUAUUGGUGAUUGCUCAGUUCCCUUCCCCUUGUCCUAUUGGUGAUUGCUCAGUUAACCUUCUCCCUCUCCUAUUGAUGAUUGCUCAGUUCCCUUCUCCCUCUCCUAGAGGUGAUCGCUCAGUUCCCUUCUCCCUCUCCUACAGGUGAUCGCUCAGUUCCCUUCUCCCUCUCCUACAGGUGAUCGCUCAGUUCCCUUCUCCAUCUCCUAUUGGUGAUUGCUCAGUUCCCUUCUCCCUCUCCUAGAGGUGAUCGCUCAGUUCCCUUCUCGCUCUCCUACAGGUGAUCGCUCAGUUCCCUUCUCCCUCUCCUAGAGGUGAUCGCUCAGUUCCCUUCUCGCUCUCCUAGAGGUGAUCGCUCAGUUCCCUUCUCCCUCUCCUAGAGGUGAUCGCUCAGUUCCCUUCUCACUCUCCUAGAGGUGAUCGCUCAGUUCCCUUCUCCGUCUCCUAGAGGUGAUCGCUCAGUUCCCUUCUCCGUCUCCUAGAGGUGAUCGCUCAGUUCCCUUCUCC